This 72-nucleotide transfer RNA is filed under the name Ictidomys tridecemlineatus (thirteen-lined ground squirrel). Its description in RNAcentral is "Spermophilus tridecemlineatus (thirteen-lined ground squirrel) tRNA". It matches the Rfam family "tRNA". From Rfam's summary of the family: Transfer RNA (tRNA) molecules are approximately 80 nucleotides in length. Their secondary structure includes four short double-helical elements and three loops (D, anti-codon, and T loops). Lineage: Eukaryota; Metazoa; Chordata; Mammalia; Rodentia; Sciuridae. The record is from Rfam by way of RNAcentral.
UGAGUUGUGGCUCAGUGGUAGAGCACUCACUUAGCACAUGAGAGGCCCUGGGUUUGAUCCUCAGUGCCAUAU